GCUGGGGGUGGUGGCACAUGCCUUUAGUCCUAGCUACUUGGGAGGUUGAGGCAGGGGGAUUGCUUGAGCCCAGGAGUUUGAGGCUGCAGUGAGUGAUGACGGCACCACUGUACUCCUGCCUGGGUGACAGAGCAAUACCCUGUCUCUA
This 148-nucleotide non-coding RNA is filed under the name Homo sapiens (human). Lineage: Eukaryota; Metazoa; Chordata; Mammalia; Primates; Hominidae. The record is from Rfam by way of RNAcentral.